AUCAGGAGAUCCGAGUAGAGGCAUAGCGGACUGCGCACGGAGAAGCCUUGAGGGAAUGCCGUAGGACCCGGGUUCGAUUCCCGGCAGCUCCACCGAAUAGAAGCUGGUCAGAGCCCUAAAGCUCUGGCCAGUUUUCUUUUCCAUCAACAUCUCGUCAACAUUGAGCGAUAUUCUGCUUCUGUGGCCUCGCUUCGGGAGAUGACGCGCAAGGACGGCACCGGCUACGUCCAGGUGCUCUACCGACUCGACGGCAGACAGACUUCGAUGUCUUUUGAAGACCUGAAGUCGGCGACGAAAUUCAAGAAACUGGCCGAUCGGUUCGGGCCGGCGAAGGCCCUCGAGGUGAUCGGGACCGACCCAGAAUUGUCGACGAUGACGGUCGGGGAGUGGCUUGAGCACCACAUCACCCAUCUGACCGGAGUACGCAAGUCGACACUCUACGACUAUCGGUCGUAUGCCCAGAAGGACAUCGGGCCGGUCCUCGGG
RNAcentral lists this transfer-messenger RNA (486 nucleotides) under Mycolicibacterium monacense. The stretch from base 1 to 95 matches the Rfam family "transfer-messenger RNA", at positions 273 to 374 of the family's 374-position model. The record is from RNAcentral. Lineage: Bacteria; Bacillati; Actinomycetota; Actinomycetes; Mycobacteriales; Mycobacteriaceae.